GAUGAAGAACGCAGCGAAAUGCGAUAAGUAGUGUGAAUUGCAGAAUUCAGUGAAUCAUCGAAUCUUUGAACGCACAUUGCGCCCUAUAGUAUUCUGUAGGGCAUGCAUGUUCGAGUGUCAUUUGUACCUUCAAGCUUUGCUUGGUGUUGGGUGUUUGUCCUCUCCCUGGUGUUUGGACUCGCCUUAAAACAAUUGGCAGCCAGUGUUUUGGUAUUGAAGCGCAGCACAAUUUGCGAUUCUGGCCUUAAAAUACUAGCGUCCAUAAGUACAUUCUCACUUUUGACCUCGGAUCAUGUAGGGAUACCCGCUGAACUUAAGCAUAUCAAUAAGCGGAGGA
Molecule: unclassified non-coding RNA, 337 nt
Filed under: soil metagenome
Description: partial contains 5.8S ribosomal RNA, internal transcribed spacer 2, and large subunit ribosomal RNA
Rfam family: 5.8S ribosomal RNA (bases 1-120)
Source: RNAcentral